RNAcentral lists this ribosomal RNA (654 nucleotides) under Russula fellea. RNAcentral describes it as "LSU rRNA". It matches the Rfam family "Eukaryotic large subunit ribosomal RNA", at positions 38 to 665 of the family's 3401-position model. The record is from RNAcentral. Lineage: Eukaryota; Fungi; Basidiomycota; Agaricomycetes; Russulales; Russulaceae.
GCAUAUCAAUAAGCGGAGGAAAAGAAACUAACAAGGAUUCCCCUAGUAACUGCGAGUGAAGCGGGAAAAGCUCAAAUUUAAAAUCUGGUGGCCUUUGGCCAUCCGAGUUGUAAUUUAGAGAAGCGUCUUCCGCGCUGGGCCGUGCACAAGUCUCCUGGAAUGGAGCGUCAUAGAGGGUGAGAAUCCCGUCUUUGGCACGGACGCACCAGGGCUUCUGUGAUGCGCUCUCGAAGAGUCGAGUUGUUUGGGAAUGCAGCUCAAAAUGGGUGGUGAACUCCAUCUAAAGCUAAAUAUUGGCGAGAGACCGAUAGCGAACAAGUACCGUGAGGGAAAGAUGAAAAGCACUUUGGAAAGAGAGUGAAACAGUACGUGAAAUUGUUGAAAGGGAAACGCUUGAAGUCAGUCGCGUCGUCCGAGACUCAGCCUUGCCUCGGCUUGGCGUACUUCUCGGCCGACGGGUCAGCGUCAAUUUUGCCCCUUGGAUAAUGGCGAGGGAAAUGUGACACCUUUACGGGUGUGUUAUAGUCUCUCGUCGCAUGCAAGGGUCGGGAUUGAGGAACUCAACACGCGCCCUCGGGCGUCGGGGUUUUUGCCCACGAUACGUGCUUAGGAUGUUGGCGUAAUGGCUUUAAACGACCCGUCUUGAAACACGGA